UGCAAUCAGCUUGUGCACCUGCA
RNAcentral lists this non-coding RNA (23 nucleotides) under Rattus norvegicus (Norway rat). Lineage: Eukaryota; Metazoa; Chordata; Mammalia; Rodentia; Muridae. The record is from RNAcentral.